This 741-nucleotide ribosomal RNA is filed under the name Rothia mucilaginosa. RNAcentral describes it as "bacterial SSU rRNA". It matches the Rfam family "Bacterial small subunit ribosomal RNA", at positions 28 to 776 of the family's 1533-position model. Lineage: Bacteria; Bacillati; Actinomycetota; Actinomycetes; Micrococcales; Micrococcaceae. The record is from RNAcentral.
GACGAACGCUGGCGGCGUGCUUAACACAUGCAAGUCGAACGAUGAAGCCUAGCUUGCUAGGUGGAUUAGUGGCGAACGGGUGAGUAAUACGUGAGUAACCUACCUUUAACUCUGGGAUAAGCCUGGGAAACUGGGUCUAAUACCGGAUACGACCAAUCUCCGCAUGGAGUGUUGGUGGAAAGCGUUAUGUAGUGGUUAUAGAUGGGCUCACGGCCUAUCAGCUUGUUGGUGAGGUAACGGCUCACCAAGGCGACGACGGGUAGCCGGCCUGAGAGGGUGACCGGCCACACUGGGACUGAGACACGGCCCAGACUCCUACGGGAGGCAGCAGUGGGGAAUAUUGCACAAUGGGCGCAAGCCUGAUGCAGCGACGCCGCGUGAGGGAUGACGGCCUUCGGGUUGUAAACCUCUGUUAGCAGGGAAGAAGAGAAAUUGACGGUACCCGCAGAGAAAGCGCCGGCUAACUACGUGCCAGCAGCCGCGGUAAUACGUAGGGCGCGAGCGUUGUCCGGAAUUAUUGGGCGUAAAGAGCUUGUAGGCGGUUUGUCGCGUCUGCUGUGAAAGGCCGGGGCUUAACCCCGUGUAUUGCAGUGGGUACGGGCAGACUAGAGUGCAGUAGGGGAGACUGGAAUUCCUGGUGUAGCGGUGGAAUGCGCAGAUAUCAGGAAGAACACCGAUGGCGAAGGCAGGUCUCUGGGCUGUAACUGACGCUGAGAAGCGAAAGCAUGGGGAGCGAACAGG